RNAcentral lists this ribosomal RNA (255 nucleotides) under uncultured bacterium. RNAcentral describes it as "partial 16S ribosomal RNA". It matches the Rfam family "Bacterial small subunit ribosomal RNA", at positions 524 to 777 of the family's 1533-position model. The record is from RNAcentral.
UACAGAGGUCUCAAGCGUUGUUCGGAUUCAUUGGGGCGUAAAGGGUGCGUAGGCGGCGCGGUAAGUCGGGUGUGAAAUCUCGGAGCUUAACUCCGAAACUGCAUUCGAUACUGCCGUGCUUGAGGACUGGAGAGGAGACUGGAAUUUACGGUGUAGCGGUGAAAUGCGUAGAUAUCGUAAGGAAGACCAGUGGCGAAGGCGGAUCUCUGGACAGUUACUGACACUGAGGCACGAAGGCCAGGGGAGCAAACGGGG